GUGGGUGUAGUGUAUGGAACACUGCUGUGUUGAGUUGUGAGGUUAGGACAAUACAGCCAGCAGACCCGGGUUCGAUUCCCGGUGCCCGCA
Mycena galericulata is the source of this 90-nucleotide non-coding RNA. The record is from the annotation of a GenBank genome assembly. Lineage: Eukaryota; Fungi; Basidiomycota; Agaricomycetes; Agaricales; Mycenaceae.